Molecule: ribosomal RNA, 468 nt
Filed under: uncultured bacterium
Lineage: Bacteria
Description: partial 16S ribosomal RNA
Rfam family: Bacterial small subunit ribosomal RNA
Source: RNAcentral
GACGAACGCUGGCGGCGUGCUUAACACAUGCAAGUCGAACGGGCAGGCCAUGCUUUUGUGGGGUGCUCGAGUGGCGAACGGGUGAGUAACACGUGAGUAUCCUGCCCUUGACUUUGGGAUAACUUCAGGAAACUGGGGCUAAUACCGCAUAGGAGCUCCUGCUGCAUGGUGGGGGUUGGAAAGUUUCGGCGGUUGUGGAUGGACUCGCGGCUUAUCAGCUUGUUGGUGGGGUAGUGGCUGACCAAGGCUUCGACGGGUAGCCGGCCUGGGAGGGUGGCCGGCGACAAGGGUACUGAGGGACGGACCAGAAUCCUACGGGAGGCAGCAGUGGGAAAUAUGGCAGAAUGGGGGGAAGCCUGAGGCAGCAACGUUGCGUGCGGGAUGACGGCCUUCGGGGUGUAAACCGCUUUCGCCGGUGACGAAGCGUGAUUGACGGUAAUGGGUAAAGAAGCACCGGCUAACUACGUG